GGCUGGCCCAAAAGUAGUGAGUUAUCUCAAUUGAUUGUUCAUAGUCAGUCACAGAUUGAACUACUUGUUCUAUUCCUUCCCUCUUUCUCACUACUGAACUUAACUGGUUUAAA
Molecule: Y RNA, 113 nt
Organism: Callithrix jacchus (white-tufted-ear marmoset)
Lineage: Eukaryota; Metazoa; Chordata; Mammalia; Primates; Cebidae
Rfam family: Y RNA
About the family: Y RNAs are components of the Ro ribonucleoprotein particle (Ro RNP), in association with Ro60 and La proteins.
Source: Ensembl